GACGAACCGUGCGAACGUUGUUCGGAUUCACUGGGCUUAAAGGGCGCGUAGGCGGGCCAUCAAGUCAGGGGUGAAAUCCCACGGCUCAACCGUGGAAGUGCCUUUGAUACUGGUGGCCUCGAGGGAGGUAGGGGCGUGCGGAACUUCCGGUGGAGCGGUGAAAUGCGUAGAUAUCGGAAGGAACGCCGGUGGCGAAAGCGGCGCGCUGGACCUCUUCUGACGCUGAGGCGCGAAAGCCAGGGGAGCAAACGGG
RNAcentral lists this ribosomal RNA (253 nucleotides) under uncultured bacterium. RNAcentral's name for it is "partial 16S ribosomal RNA". It matches the Rfam family "Bacterial small subunit ribosomal RNA", at positions 524 to 776 of the family's 1533-position model. The record is from RNAcentral.